GGCAGCGGCGUCGCUGUCAUCUCAUUGUCCUGCGGGGCUCUCAGGACCUCUAGAGUUCGCCGUGAGCUGCAGAAACUGCUCCAGGUGGCUGCGAUGGCUGGAACUGGAUCAAUCCGAAGCCAGGAGCCAGGAGCUUCUUCCAGGUGUCCCACACAGGUGCAGGGGCCCAAGGACUUGGGCCAUCUACUACUGCUUUCCCAGGUCAUAGCAGGGAGCUGGAUCGCAAGUGGAGCAGGCGGGACUCGAACCAACGCCCAAAUAGGACGCCCGGUAAUAACAUUUUACCCAGUAAUCUCGUUACCCUCACUUGUCAGUUGUAUGUAGUUCAGGAUUACAUUGAUUAUCUGUAUGUAAUGGAUAUCACCUGGGUAUAUGGACAGAGUUUCUGGUUUGUUUAAAGCUUGAUGCUUGUUUGUUUUUGUUUGAUUUCCCUGUUAGAAAUGGAGAGAAGACAGCAGGCAUGUCUGGGUCUGUUCCCAGGGGAAAAGCUUUCCCUGAUCCUGUGUUAAGUGGUUUGUUGUAGGUCCAUUUUAGACUAUCUUGAUCACAUACAGCAAAUCACUGUUUUUUGCAAUUUUUCUAAAAGAUUUUUUAUGUUUGGAUACUGAAUUUAAUUAAAUGCUUUUUAACACUUAAUCUAAAUGGUUAUGUAAUUGCCUCACAUUUUCUACCUACCUGGAUGUUUUACAGGGUUUGUUUGAGAAUGCUGAAUGUUCUUCACAUUUUAGUGUGUCUCAGUUGUUAUAGACAUAUUAUGUUUUCCUGUAUGGUUGAAUUCACAUAAUAAUAAUUUGCUUAGGAUAUCAUCUGUUUAUGAAACAGAUGCUGUUUAUUUUCAUUUUUAGUAUGUUCUCUGAUGUUUGCAUCAUAUACACAGCACUGGCUUCCCAAAAGAAAUUGAAAUAUAUCCUCUGUUUAGUUCCAGUUGGAGCUUGUUUGCUUGUUUGGGAAAUUUAAGGUUUUUUAUUGAAAGUUUGGAAUAUUCCAUGUAUAUGGGCCUAAAACUUUACUUGUGGAACGUUUUUCUUGGUUGAUUUGGCUCCUUAAAAUUGUUUCAACUUAUUAAAUUAUGUAGUAGCUUUUCUAUUUCAUCUGAUAUUUGUGUUUUGGGAAACUGAUUUUCAGAAUGUAGCAGAUAUUUUCCUCUGGAGUCAAAUUUUUACUUCUAUAAAUUUAGCAAAAUCCUCUUAGUAACUUAGUAAGUUCUGUAAGCUCUAUAAAGAAUGCUUCUAUAUUAAUUUCCUGAAAUUAGUUAUUAUUUAUUUUAUUAACAUUCUUAAAGAUUUAUUUAUUUAUUUGAAAGUCAGAGUUACACAGAGAGAGGAAAAGCAGAGAGAGUGGUCUUCCAUCUGAUGGUUCACUCCGCAGUUGGCUGCAACAGCCAGAGCUGUGCCAACCUGAAGCCAGGACCUUCUUCUGGGGUUCCCAAGUGGGUGUAGGGGCCCCAGGACUUGGGCCAUCUUCCACUGCUUUCUCAGGCCAUAGCAGAGAGCUGUAUUGGAAGAGGAGCAGCCAGGACUAGAACCGGUGCCCAUAUGGGAUGCCGUCACUUCAGGCCAAGACAUUAACCUGCUGUGCCACAGCGCCGGCCCCUAUUUUCGUAAGUUUUAAAAUAUAUUUUCCUUAUAUGUUUCUGU
Molecule: non-coding RNA, 1637 nt
Organism: Oryctolagus cuniculus (rabbit)
Lineage: Eukaryota; Metazoa; Chordata; Mammalia; Lagomorpha; Leporidae
Source: RefSeq, a predicted model, not a curated record